RNAcentral lists this non-coding RNA (29 nucleotides) under Mus musculus (house mouse). The record is from RNAcentral. Lineage: Eukaryota; Metazoa; Chordata; Mammalia; Rodentia; Muridae.
GUGACUACUUGGGUUGUCUCUGCUCAUAU